This 253-nucleotide ribosomal RNA is filed under the name uncultured bacterium. RNAcentral describes it as "partial 16S ribosomal RNA". It matches the Rfam family "Bacterial small subunit ribosomal RNA", at positions 524 to 776 of the family's 1533-position model. The record is from RNAcentral.
UACAGAGGGUGCGAGCGUUGUUCGGAAUCACUGGGCGUAAAGCGCGCGCAGGCGGAACGUCAAGUCGGAAGUGAAAUCUCGCCGCUCAACGGCGAGGCUGCUUUCGAUACUGGCGCUCUAGGGAGUGGUAGAGGCUGGUAGAAUUGCAGGUGUAGCGGUGGAAUGCGUAGAGAUCGGAAAGAACACCAACGGCGAAAGCACUCUGCUGGGCCGACACUGACACUGAGAGACGAAAGCUAGGGGAGCGAAUGGG